UACGUAGGUGGCAAGCGUUGUCCGGAAUUACUGGGUGUAAAGGGCGUGUAGGCGGGGAUGUAAGUCAGAUGUGAAAUUCCAUGGCUCAACUGUGGCGCUGCAUCUGAAACUAUAUCUCUUGAGUGAUGGAGAGGAAAGUGGAAUUCCUAGUGUAGCGGUGAAAUGCGUAGAUAUUAGGAGGAACACCAGUGGCGAAGGCGACUUUCUGGACAUUAACUGACGCUGAGGCGCGAAAGCGUGGGGAGCAAACAGG
RNAcentral lists this ribosomal RNA (253 nucleotides) under uncultured bacterium. RNAcentral's name for it is "partial 16S ribosomal RNA". It matches the Rfam family "Bacterial small subunit ribosomal RNA", at positions 524 to 776 of the family's 1533-position model. The record is from RNAcentral.